This is a non-coding RNA of Arachis ipaensis, 899 nucleotides long. The record is from RefSeq and is a predicted model, not a curated record. Lineage: Eukaryota; Viridiplantae; Streptophyta; Magnoliopsida; Fabales; Fabaceae.
GGUCCUCGCCGCUGCCGCCAUAGCCACGCAGCCGCUGUCUGGUCGUCAUCGUCGUCGCGCUCGCCAGAAACGAGGCAGAGAGCAGCGCCGAGAGGAAGUCCAUCAACCCCAUCGCCGCCGUCGUGCUCGCAAGUAUGGAGGAAGCCCGUUGCUGCCAGCUUUGUCGGAUCUCUGUCAUCGAACCCGUCCUUGCCGCCGCCAUUGGAGUCGCGAAUGGAGGAGGGAGAAGAGGCACGAAAGGGAGCGUCGCGGUGUUGCCGUGGUCAUCGACUAGCUGGGCUUGCCAUCGUCGCGUUUGGGUGGCUGUUGCGCCGCCGUUCGUUGCUGCCUUGUCGCCAUUGAAGCUUCAUGUUGCCGCUUUGACCGCCGGUAACCACCGGUGGAACUCCAUCUUCUCGGGUCGAAUUCCGAGUCUUGCAUGCUGAAUUUAAUGGUUGUUGCCUGCGACAUCAAGCUGCUGCGUCAUCACUGGAGCUGUUGCUGCUCCGUGUUCUCGGUUAAUCGUAAGUCCGGAUCGAGUUCCGGUUAUUGUAUGUUACAAUUCAAGCUGUUUCGGUUGCUGCGAAAGUGGAUAAAGCUGAGGUUACGGUUGCUGCUGUCGCUGGCCGAGGAAAAAGGGGUUUUUGACGCGUUUUGAUUUUGCGAGUUUCGACUUUGAGGAUAAUUUUUUUUGGACUGGUAAAGACAAAAGGAGUUGACUAGUUGUUGUGGCACCCUGUAUAAGAUGGGAUGUGUCUUAUAAUGAGUUUGGUUAUCUAAAUGUAUUAUUUUGAUGUGUUCUUUACUUUUUGAUAAGAGACUUUAUCCGAUAUUAUAUGUAAUGGAUAAAUUACACUCUAUUUUGAUUAGUGUUGUAAUGAAUAUCUAAUUUUUAAUGAAACUUUUAUGAUUUGGAUUUA